CCUACGGGAGGCAGCAGUAGGGAAUUUUCCACAAUGGGCGAAAGCCUGAUGGAGCAAUACCGCGUGCAGGAUGAAGGCCUUCGGGUCGUAAACUGCUUUUAUGUGCGAAGAAUUUGACGGUAACACAUGAAUAAGGAUCGGCUAACUACGUGCCAGCAGCCGCGGUCAUACGUAGGAUCCAAGCGUUAUCCGGAAUUACUGGGCGUAAAGAGUUGCGUAGGUGGCAUUAUAAGUGGAGCGUGAAAGCGUGCGGCUCAACCGCAUUAUUGCGUUCCAAACUGUGAAGCUUGAGUAUGGGAGAGGUAGAUGGAAUUUCUAGUGUAGGAGUGAAAUCCGUAGAUAUUAGAAGGAACACCGAUGGCGUAGGCAGUCUACUGGCCCAUUACUGACACUAAGGCACGAAAGCGUGGGGAGCAAACGGGAUUAGAUACCCCGGUAGUCCACGCUGUAAACUAUGGAUGCUAGCUGUGACACACAUCGACCUGUGUCGUAGCGAAGUUAACGCGUUAAGCAUCCCGCCUGGGGAUACGGUCGCAAGNUUAAAACUCAAAAUGAAUUGACGG
This 563-nucleotide ribosomal RNA is filed under the name uncultured bacterium. RNAcentral describes it as "bacterial SSU rRNA". It matches the Rfam family "Bacterial small subunit ribosomal RNA", at positions 338 to 916 of the family's 1533-position model. The record is from RNAcentral.